GAUGAAGAACGUAGUGAAAUGCGAUAAGUAAUGCGAAUUGCAGAAUUCAGUGAGUCAUCGAAUCUUUGAACGCACAUUGCGCCCUGUGGUAUUCCGCAGGGCAUGCCUGUUCGAGCGUCAUUUCAACCCUCAAGCCUCGCUUGGUGUUGGGCCCUGCCCGCCGCGGCCGGCCCUAAAGAUAGUGGCGGCGCCGCCUGGCCCUCAGCGUAGUACAGCUCUCGCUCCAGGGUCCGGCGGUAGCCUGCCAGAACCCCCCAACUCUGUGGUUGACCUCGGAUCAGGUAGGGAUACCCGCUGAACUUAAGCAUAUCAAUAAGCGGAGGA
Molecule: unclassified non-coding RNA, 324 nt
Filed under: soil metagenome
Description: partial contains 5.8S ribosomal RNA, internal transcribed spacer 2, and large subunit ribosomal RNA
Rfam family: 5.8S ribosomal RNA (bases 1-120)
Source: RNAcentral